Felis catus (domestic cat) is the source of this 1337-nucleotide long non-coding RNA. RefSeq lists it as uncharacterized. The transcript has 2 exons. Lineage: Eukaryota; Metazoa; Chordata; Mammalia; Carnivora; Felidae. The record is from RefSeq and is a predicted model, not a curated record.
ACAACUUGGAGUUGAAGCUAUGGCUGCUACGAACCCCUGAGAUCCCUUAUAAGGGCUGAGGUGUAGGCUGCACCUUCUUCUUUCCUCCCAAGAUGCUGACUGUUUCAAGAUGCUGGUGAUUCAAAGACACAUGGUUUGAGAUUUCUGUCUCUGUAUCCUCAUAGCUGUCAACCCAUGUUGUUGCAUAAUCCUCGCACUGACAGCUUCAGUGUGGAGGAAAAGAGUACAAAAAGUCAAGGACAGAAGGGAGAGACUCAUCCUGACGGUGCAGAUCAAAAGUGGUUUCCUGGGUCUUGGAAAGAGAAAUCUGAAGCAGAGCAUGUUGCUUGAGGGAGAACAGGCCUCUGGGGUAGUUGUUUUCAACAAGGCUUUUAAAGACAAGCAGACUUUGGUGCUGGGUGUGGAACGAGGGGAAGAAAUUUCCAGGUGGAAAUGGUCCUUCCACAUACAAGUGGGGUACUUGCCAAUGACAUGGAGUUCAACUUGGCUGGACUUCCAGGUGUGAGAUGAUCAUAUGAAACAACUCAUAAGCCAGGUAUGAAACCCCAGGUCCCAAAGGACUGUACCUUAGAAGACAGUCUGGGCCCAUGCCUAGGGUCUGUUGCCCCAGGGUAGUGCAGACUUGAAAUAAAGUAGAGGUACCUGGGGGCCUUGAGGCUUGAGGCUCAAUGUAGUUGCAUAUCAGUGUAAGUUCCAGGUGAUAAUUUUUAGCUGAUUCCCAUUUUCCUGGGGGAAACUGAAAAUAUGUUUUUAACUAAGUACCCAGCCCAAUGAAUUCUAUUGCUUAGUCUCAGGGCAGAGUGUCAGCUUGUCUAUGAUUCCCAAAACACAAGAUGCCAAUUUUGAAACCUUAGCAAUCCUCCUGACUGCUGUGACCUGAUUUUGCCUCUGCUAGCAUAUAUCUCAUUAUAUAGGUAUAUAGAUAGAGCAUAAUUGUAUAUAAUUAUAAUUUUGAAUGUGUAAUUUUUCUCUCUAAAAAAAUGAUGCAUACCCAUAUAAAGAUGUAUUAAUGUAGAUAAGCAUAAGGAAGAUGAUUAAGACCAAGCAAAAAUCUUACUGCCUAAAAAUAACUCCUGCUAAUAAUUUCAGGAUCUAUUUCCAAAUUUUCUACAGAAAGUCACAAAAUGGGAUAAUUUCAGAAUACUUUAUAACCUGAUCUUUUAAUUAAUAGUACAAUUGUCAAUAUUCUUCUGUGCUAAUAAAUAUUGAUCAACACUAUUAUAGUCCAUUAUAUGAAUGCAUCAUGAUUUGUGUAAUGAGUUCCCUGAUUCGGGGGACUUAAUGUUGCUUCCAUGUUUUGCCGUAAACAAUAAUAAAAUAAACAUUCUCAUUGGUGA